RNAcentral lists this transfer RNA (73 nucleotides) under Martinezella leucaenae. Its description in RNAcentral is "Rhizobium leucaenae tRNA-OTHER". It matches the Rfam family "tRNA". Rfam says of the family: Transfer RNA (tRNA) molecules are approximately 80 nucleotides in length. Their secondary structure includes four short double-helical elements and three loops (D, anti-codon, and T loops). Lineage: Bacteria; Pseudomonadati; Pseudomonadota; Alphaproteobacteria; Hyphomicrobiales; Rhizobiaceae. The record is from RNAcentral.
CCCUGUAGUAUAAGGCUUUCCAUCUUGAUUUGUAAUCAGGGGGUCGCGGGUUCGAACCCUGCCGGGGGCACCA